UACGUAGGGGGCAAGCGUUGUCCGGAUUUAUUGGGCGUAAAGAGCGUGUGCGGCUUUACAGGUCCGUUGUGAAAACUCGAGGCUCAACCUCGAGACGCCGGUGGAAACCGUAAAGCUAGAGUCCGGAAGAGGAGAGUGGAAUUCCUGGUGUAGCGGUGAAAUGCGCAGAUAUCAGGAGGAACACCCGUGGCGAAAGCGGCUCUCUGGGACGGUACUGACGCUGAGACGCGAAAGCGUGGGGAGCAAACAGG
This 251-nucleotide ribosomal RNA is filed under the name uncultured bacterium. RNAcentral's name for it is "partial 16S ribosomal RNA". It matches the Rfam family "Bacterial small subunit ribosomal RNA", at positions 524 to 776 of the family's 1533-position model. The record is from RNAcentral.